RNAcentral lists this ribosomal RNA (253 nucleotides) under uncultured bacterium. Its description in RNAcentral is "partial 16S ribosomal RNA". It matches the Rfam family "Bacterial small subunit ribosomal RNA", at positions 524 to 776 of the family's 1533-position model. The record is from RNAcentral.
UACGAGGGGGGCAAGCGUUGUUCGGAAUUACUGGGCGUAAAGGGUUCGUAGGUGGCCACCUAAGUCAGACGUGAAAUCCCUCAGCUUAACUGGGGAACUGCGUCUGAUACUGGGUGGCUUGAGUGCAGGAGAGGAAUGCGGAAUUCCAGGUGUAGCGGUGAAAUGCGUAGAUAUCUGGAGGAACACCGGUGGCGAAGGCGGCAUUCUGGACUGUAACUGACACUGAGGAACGAAAGCCAGGGGAGCAAACGGG